This 1245-nucleotide ribosomal RNA is filed under the name metagenome. Its description in RNAcentral is "bacterial LSU rRNA". It matches the Rfam family "Bacterial large subunit ribosomal RNA", at positions 1637 to 2874 of the family's 2925-position model. The record is from RNAcentral.
UACGACCGUACCGCAAACCGACACUGGUGCGCGAGAUGAGUAUUCUAAGGCGCUUGAGAGAACUCAGGAGAAGGAACUCGGCAAAUUGACACCGUAACUUCGGAAGAAGGUGUGCCCUAUUAGUGUGUAGUGAACAACGAAGCAUGAAUGGGUUGCAAAAAAUCGGUGGCUGCGACUGUUUAUUAAAAACACAGCACUCUGCAAACACGAAAGUGGACGUAUAGGGUGUGACGCCUGCCCGGUGCUGGAAGAUUAAAUGAUGGGGUGCAAGCUCUUGAUUGAAGUCCCAGUAAACGGCGGCCGUAACAAUAACGGUCCUAAGGUAGCGAAAUUCCUUGUCGGGUAAGUUCCGACCUGCACGAAUGGCGUAACGAUGGCCACACUGUCUCCUCCUGAGACUCAGCGAAGUUGAAAUGUUUGUGAUGAUGCAAUCUCCCCGCGGAAAGACGGAAAGACCCCAUGAACCUUUACUGUAGCUUUGUAUUGGACUUUGAACAGAUCUGUGUAGGAUAGGUGGGAGGCUUUGAAGCAGGGUCGCUAGAUCUUGUGGAGCCAACGUUGAAAUACCACCCUGGUGUGUUUGUGGUUCUAACCUAGGUCCAUUAUCUGGAUCGGGGACAGUGCAUGGUAGGCAGUUUGACUGGGGCGGUCUCCUCCCAAAGCGUAACGGAGGAGUUCGAAGGUACGCUAGUUACGGUCGGACAUCGUGACGAUAGUGCAAUGGCAUAAGCGUGCUUAACUGCGAGACUGACAAGUCGAGCAGAUGCGAAAGCAGGACAUAGUGAUCCGGUGGUUCUGUAUGGAAGGGCCAUCGCUCAACGGAUAAAAGGUACUCUGGGGAUAACAGGCUGAUACCGCCCAAGAGUUCAUAUCGACGGCGGUGUUUGGCACCUCGAUGUCGGCUCAUCUCAUCCUGGGGCUGUAGCCGGUCCCAAGGGUAUGGCUGUUCGCCAUUUAAAGAGGUACGUGAGCUGGGUUUGAAACGUCGUGAGACAGUUUGGUCCCUAUCUUCCGUGGGCGCUGCAGAUUUGAGGAAGCCUGCUCCUAGUACGAGAGGACCGGAGUGGACACACCUCUGGUGUAUCGGUUGUCACGCCAGUGGCAUUGCCGAGUAGCUAAGUGUGGAAGAGAUAACCGCUGAAAGCAUCUAAGCGGGAAACUCGUUUCAAGAUGAGAUCUGCCGGGGCCUUGAGCCCCCUAAAGAGUCGUUCAAGACCAGGACGUUGAUAGGUCAGGUGUGGAAGC